CCUACGGGGCGCAGCAGUGGGGAAUAUUGCACAAUGGGGGGAACCCUGAUGCAGCGACGCCGCGUGGGCGAGGAAGUAUUUCGGUAUGUAAAGCCCUAUCGGCAGGGAAGAAGAAAUGACGGUACCUGAAUAAGAAGCACCGGCUAAAUACGUGCCAGCAGCCGCGGUAAUACGUAUGGUGCAAGCGUUAUCCGGAUUUACUGGGUGUAAAGGGAGCGUAGACGGCAGUGCAAGUCUGGAGUGAAAGGCGGGGGCUCAACCCCCGGACUGCUCUGGAAACUGUACGGCUGGAGUGCAGGAGAGGG
Molecule: ribosomal RNA, 305 nt
Filed under: uncultured bacterium
Lineage: Bacteria
Description: bacterial SSU rRNA
Rfam family: Bacterial small subunit ribosomal RNA
Source: RNAcentral